AUGUCUCUCCUCCUCCGAACUCUCCCUCUCCCUCUCCGACCUUCCCCUUUCCUCUCAGCCACCGCCACCGCCAACGCCGCCUCUCUCUUCCUCUUACCCAAACUGAGAAACCCACUUCCCCGAACCCGAAGAACCUUCUCCAAUUCCACCGCCGCAGCCACCUCCAUCGACUCCGUAGUGAAACCGCCUCCUCCUCCUCUUCCUCCGUCGGUUCUCAGGUGGGUUUCUCGCACGGAGCUUUGCGGUGAGUUAUCAGUCGAAGACGUUGGAAAAAGAGUCCACCUUUGCGGGUGGGUCGCCCUCCACCGAGUCCACGGAGGUCUCACUUUCCUUAACCUUAGAGAUCACACAGGCAUUGUCCAGGUUAGGACGCUUCCGGAUGAGUUCCCUGAGGCGCACGGGUUGAUCAAUGACAUGAGGCUUGAGUACGUUGUUUCAGUGGAAGGUACUGUUCGUGCUAGACCAAAUGAGUCCAUCAACAAGAAAAUGAAAACUGGAGUCAUUGAGGUAGUUGCAGAGCAUGUUGAAAUAUUGAAUCCUGUGAGGUCAAAGCUUCCCUUCCUCGUUACUACUUCGGACGAGACAAAAGAUUCGAUUAAAGAAGAUAUUCGCUUAAGGUUUCGAUGUCUUGAUCUACGCCGUCAGCAGAUGACGAAUAAUAUUGUCCUUCGCCAUAAUGUGGUGAAGCUGAUCAGGAGGUAUCUAGAAGACAUGCAUGGGUUUAUUGAGAUUGAAACUCCAAUACUCUCUAGAUCAACUCCAGAAGGCGCUAGAGAUUAUUUGGUUGCCUCAAGAAUUCAGUCAGGAACAUUUUAUGCUUUGCCACAAAGUCCUCAGCUCUUCAAACAGAUGUUAAUGGUCUCUGGGUUUGACAAGUAUUACCAGAUAGCAAGAUGUUUUAGAGAUGAAGAUCUAAGAGCUGAUAGGCAACCUGAAUUCACUCAGCUUGAUAUGGAAAUGGCGUUCAUGCCUAUGGAGGACAUGCUCAAGCUGAAUGAGGAUCUUAUUCGUAAGGUCUUUGCAGAGAUCAAAGGUAUACAGCUACCUGAUCCAUUCCCAAGACUGACGUAUGCUGAUGCAAUGGAUCGACAUGGUUCAGAUAGACCAGAUACAAGAUUUGAUCUUGAGUUGAAAGACGUGUCAAAUGCUUUCACAGGAUCGUCCUUCAGGGUUUUCACGGAGACCCUUGAAAGCGGUGGAAUCAUUAAAGUGUUAUGUGUGCCUUUGGGUGCUAAAAAAUAUUCAAACUCAGCUCUCAAAAAAGGAGAUGUUUAUAAUGAAGCAAUCAAAUCUGGAGCAAAGGGUCUGCCUUUCUUGAAGGUCUUGGAUAAUGGCGAGGUCGAGGGAAUUGCAGCAUUAGUGUCUAGUUUAGACCCAGAGGGUAAAGCAAACAUUGUGAGACAAUGUCGAGCAAAGCCUGGUGAUCUUAUUUUAUUUGGAGUGGGUCCUGUUACUUCUGUUAAUAAAACCCUAGACAGGUUAAGACUCUUUGUCGCCCAUGAUAUGGAUUUAAUUGACCAUUCCAAGCACUCCAUUCUGUGGGUAACAGACUUCCCAAUGUUCGAGUGGAAUGAACCAGAGCAGAGGCUUGAGGCAUUACAUCAUCCAUUCACAGCUCCUAGGCCUGAAGAUAUGGAUGACUUACCUUCUGCAAGAGCUCUCGCUUAUGACAUGGUCUACAAUGGGGUCGAGAUUGGCGGAGGAAGUUUAAGGAUAUAUAAGCGGGAUGUCCAAGAAAAGGUUUUGGAGAUCAUUGGCAUCUCAGCUGAAGAAGCUGAAGCGGAGUUUGGCUAUCUUCUGGAGGCUCUUGACAUGGGUGCUCCUCCUCAUGGUGGAAUUGCUUAUGGAUUGGAUAGGAUAGUGAUGAUGCUGGGAGGUGCGAGUUCCAUAAGGGAUGUAAUAGCUUUCCCAAAGACAACCACAGCGCAAUGUGCCUUAACCAGAACUCCCUCUGAAGUCGAUCCAAAGCAGCUCCAAGAUCUCUCCAUCCGCACCAAAUAAUAGCUCUGAGAAGAUGAUCAAGUAGAGAUGUGGUAAUAAUAGUAUAUCGGAGGUGGAGAGAGAGGGAAAACAGACUGAGCUUCGAUAAAUCUAGAGAGAGAGUUUAUAUAAUAAGGGAACAAAGAGGGCAAACUUUGGAGGAAGGAGAGAGUGCAAAGGACAUUGGUAAGGCCCAGAUAGAAGAGGGUCAAGUUUUAAGGGAAAAGUGCAUAUUUCAAUCUGAAUUUUACCAGUUGUGCCUAUUUUCUCCUGAAAUUUGAAGUGGUGCGUAUUCCAUACCGAAUUACAGAAAAAACUCCAAAAUACUACAUAAAUUCUCAAAAUUGUGCUUAUAUAUAUAUAUAUAUUAAUCGUCAAAUGU
Molecule: RNA transcript, 2362 nt
Organism: Brassica oleracea var. oleracea
Lineage: Eukaryota; Viridiplantae; Streptophyta; Magnoliopsida; Brassicales; Brassicaceae
Gene name: aspartate--tRNA ligase, chloroplastic/mitochondrial
Exons: 16
Source: RefSeq, a predicted model, not a curated record